ACUCAAAUGAAUUGACGGGGGCCCGCACAAGCAGUGGAGCAUGUGGUUUAAUUCGAUGCAACGCGAAGAACCUUACCUAGGUUUGAAAGGCAAGUGACAGGCGAUGAAAGUCGCUCUCGUAGCAAUACGCACUUGUACAGGUGCUGCAUGGCUGUCGUCAGCUCGUGCCGUGAGGUGUUAGGUUAAGUCCUGCAACGAGCGCAACCCCUGCACUUAGUUGCCAGCAAGUAAUGUUGGGCACUCUAAGUGGACUGCCUACGCAAGUAGUGAGGAAGGUGGGGAUGACGUCAAGUCCUCAUGGCCCUUACACCUAGGGCCACACACGUGCUACAAUGGCCACUACAAAGGGUCGCUAAGACGCAAGUCGGAGCCAAUCCCAAAAAAGUGGUCUCAGUUCGAAUUGGGGUCUGCAACUCGACCCCAUGAAGCUGGAAUUGCUAGUAAUCGCGGAUCAGCACGCCGCGGUGAAUACGUUCCCGGGCCUUGCACACACCGCCCGU
This 500-nucleotide ribosomal RNA is filed under the name uncultured bacterium. RNAcentral describes it as "partial 16S ribosomal RNA". It matches the Rfam family "Bacterial small subunit ribosomal RNA", at positions 899 to 1397 of the family's 1533-position model. The record is from RNAcentral.